GGCGUCGUGGCUUAGCUGGUUAAAGCGUCUGUCUUGUAAACAGGAGGUCAUGAGUUUGAAUCUCGUUGGUGCCU
Non-coding RNA from Trichonephila clavata, 74 nucleotides. NCBI's taxonomy places the organism in Eukaryota, Metazoa, Arthropoda, Arachnida, Araneae, Nephilidae. The record is from the annotation of a GenBank genome assembly.